Molecule: small nuclear RNA, 192 nt
Filed under: Phoenicopterus ruber ruber
Lineage: Eukaryota; Metazoa; Chordata; Aves; Phoenicopteriformes; Phoenicopteridae
Description: U2 spliceosomal RNA
Rfam family: U2 spliceosomal RNA
About the family: U2 is a small nuclear RNA (snRNA) component of the spliceosome (involved in pre-mRNA splicing). Complementary binding between U2 snRNA (in an area lying towards the 5' end but 3' to hairpin I) and the branchpoint sequence (BPS) of the intron results the bulging out of an unpaired adenosine, on the BPS, which initiates a nucleophilic attack at the intronic 5' splice site, thus starting the first of two transesterification reactions that mediate splicing.
Source: Rfam by way of RNAcentral
CACACUUCUCAGCCCGUGGCUAAGAUCAAGUGCAUCAUCUCUUCUUACCGCUUUAAUAUCUGAUACAUCUUCAGCUUGAAGAUUUUAUAUUAAAUGGAUUUGGAGGGCAGGGGAAGGAGUAUCAGCUUGCUCCAUCCACUCCAUACGUCAACCCGAAACCGCAGUGCUUCCAGGUCCUGUGGUGCAUGGAGA